Molecule: ribosomal RNA, 495 nt
Filed under: uncultured bacterium
Lineage: Bacteria
Description: partial 16S ribosomal RNA
Rfam family: Bacterial small subunit ribosomal RNA
Source: RNAcentral
GACGAACGCUGGCGGCGUGCUUAACACAUGCAAGUCGAACGGAAAGGCCUGCUUUCCCUUGUGGAUUGCGGGUACUCGAGUGGCGAACGGGUGAGUAACACGUGAGUGAUCUGCCCCCAACUUGGGUAUAAGCCUGGGAAACUGGGUCUAAUUCCCGAUAGGACUGCAGGGUGGUGCCUGUGGUGGAAAACGAUUUUCUAGUGGUUGGGGAUGAGCUCGCGGCCUAUCAGCUUGUUGGUGGGGUAAUGGCCUACCAAGGCGGCGACGGGUAGCCGGCCUGAGAGGGUGGACGGCCACAUUGGGACUGAGAUACGGCCCAGACUCCUACGGGAGGCAGCAGUGGGGAAGAUUGCACAAUGGGCGGAAGCCUGAUGCAGCGACGCCGCGUGGGGGAUGACGGCCUUCGGGUUGUAAACUCCUUUCGACCGCGAGGAAGCCACCUGGUUGGAAGGGUGGUGACGGUAGUGGUAGAAGAAGCACCGGCUAACUACGUGC